Molecule: transfer RNA, 72 nt
Filed under: Marmota monax (woodchuck)
Lineage: Eukaryota; Metazoa; Chordata; Mammalia; Rodentia; Sciuridae
Description: tRNA.Ala
Source: RNAcentral
GGGGGUAUAGCUUAGUGAUAGAGCACUUGCCAAGCAUGCAUGAGGCUCUGGGUGGAAUCCCCAGCACUUCAA